Molecule: ribosomal RNA, 470 nt
Filed under: uncultured Syntrophus sp.
Lineage: Bacteria; Pseudomonadati; Thermodesulfobacteriota; Syntrophia; Syntrophales; Syntrophaceae
Description: bacterial SSU rRNA
Rfam family: Bacterial small subunit ribosomal RNA
Source: RNAcentral
GACGGGGCCCGCACAAGCGGUGGAGCAUGUGGUUUAAUUCGAUGCAACGCGAAGAACCUUACCUGGGCUUGACAUCCCGGGAAUCCCUUGGAAACAAGGGAGUGCCCUUCGGGGAACCUGGAGACAGGUGCUGCAUGGCUGUCGUCAGCUCGUGUCGUGAGAUGUAGGGUUAAGUCCCGCAACGAGCGCAACCCUUGUCUUUAAUUGCCAUCAUUGAGUUGGGCACUUUAAAGAGACUGCCGGUGUUAAACCGGAGGAAGGUGGGGAUGACGUCAAGUCCUCAUGGCCUUUAUGCCUAGGGCUACACACGUGCUACAAUGGGCGGUACAAAGGGUUGCAAUCCCGCGAGGGGGAGCCAAUCCCAAAAAGCCGUUCUCAGUUCGGAUUGGAGUCUGCAACUCGACUCCAUGAAGUUGGAAUCGCUAGUAAUCGUGGAUCAGCAUGCCACAGUGAAUACGUUCCCGGGCCUU